UCUACAGGAGAAGAAUGUGGUAUCAUAAGCAUCCAUAGUUAGGCAAUCACCACCACAAAUGUUAAUAGGGGUUGUGAAUUCUCCAAACAUCCUAUAAAACAGAGAGGGUGGGGAAAAUGUUUUAUAUAACCCAAUCAAUUACAGUUGAAAAUAUUUAUGAACAGCACAAGGGCUGCCAAAGCAGGUGAAGAGAUGUUCCUGUCAAUUCAAGAGGGUGACUAGAUCAAAAGGAAUUCAGAACCUCAAUACAUUCAAGAGGCACCAUAUAUCGACAGAAGAUUAUUUUUCCCCUCAUUUUUAUAUGGUUCACUAUGUUGGACACCUUAGGAGAUCCAAAGUAAAUAUAAUUUACUCUGUUAUCUUCCAACAUGUCAUAGCAUGAAUAAAUGAAUUUAGGCAUGGCAUUAUUAAAACACAAUCAAGCAUAUGUACAUUUCAUGUGUUUAUAUAAUUGUCUCUGUGAGGAAAAUAGCUGCAUCUAUGGAAUUUGAUUAAGGAAACUACAGAUUUUUAUUUCAGUGAUCCACCAACAUUUGGAAACUUAUUUGAGAGAGAAAGUAGCUGAAACUUAAAAAUCUGAAUAUAGGAGAAAGCAAAAUUAACAGAUUUUCCUAGCUUUGCCAUGAAGAAACAACGACUCCGCAAAAUAAAUUUGAGACACAGUCCACAAUUUUUCUUAGUUGCAGAAAAUUAAAUCUAGUAUUCCCCCAACUUGGUUCCCUCUAGAAAUGUCUUGGUCUAAAGUUCCACUGUCGCCAGACGGCUUGGCCACCGGGGAUGAGAGGAGCCUCAGUCCAACAUGUUUGAGGGGCAGUAAGCAAGACUAAUUCUUCCUUCUCUCUGCUUCUGAGUAUUUUGCUGUCAUAAAUGUUGGGCGUUUGCCACCUGCAGCCUGAAGUAUUCUCAACAAAGAUGCACAUAUUGUGCUGGCGGAGCCUAUGUUUUACUUCUGGGAUAGCCUGCAAUAUAUAGCUCUUGUUGACACAAUAUGGUUUAUGCCAAGAACCCAAAAGUAAAUAUAUUGUACCAAUUGGCUCUGACAAUCUUGCAAUGGCACUGCAUAGCAAAGAAGGUGGUAUAAACACUCCUCUUCAUACCCACCCCCUGAGUCUCUUUACUCCAGAUAGAUACAAGGCCUUUCUUGAGGGCCUGAUCGGCCAAGCUUUGCUUCUAGCAUGCAUUGUCAUCUAACAGCACCCUCAACUGGUGAGUCUGAUUGUCUGCACUAUGGGCACACUUGGCUCCUUUAUUCCCUUGCCUGGAACUCAGCCUAAAAUGAGGAAAAUUAAGACAAAAGUCCUCCUUUCCCUUUAGGCUUUUCCAAGUUGCAACAAGAAUCGGUCCAGGAAUCUGGUUUUUAUUUAAUGCUUUAAGUAAACCCGAUAUACAAGAACCACAUAUAAUAAAUAUAGGGGCACCUCAGCAUAUGCACAUAUACUUUUUUCCUUAUCAGGAGCAACUUGAGAAACUGCAAGUUGCUUCAGUGUGAGAUAAUUGUCCGUCUUCAAGGACAUUGCCCAGGGGAUGCCCGGAUGUUUUACCAUCUUGUGGGAGCUUCUCUCAUGUACCCACAUGAGAAGCUGGAGCUGACAGACAGGAGCCCACCCCGCUACCCGGAUUCGAACCACCGACCUUUUAGUCAGCAGACUUGCCAGCGCAAGGGUUUAACCCAUUGUGCCACCAGGGGCUCCUGCAUAGAUUACAAUGACCAACACACAUUUUGGUUCUUCAAAAUGUUAGCCCUGUUUCUGGGUAUAUUUGACCUGCUGAUUCCAAAUAUUGCACUACUUUCCCCCUAGUUUUUGGGAUACAGAACAUAUGCCAUAUCCAGUCCCACCUGAUCUCCCAUAGAAAACCGUGAUAACCAUAUCUAAAAGCUAGAGCUGAUGUCGUCUAUCCAAUCAUUUU
Anolis sagrei ordinatus is the source of this 1908-nucleotide non-coding RNA. The record is from RefSeq and is a predicted model, not a curated record. NCBI's taxonomy places the organism in Eukaryota, Metazoa, Chordata, Lepidosauria, Squamata, Anolidae.